RNAcentral lists this transfer RNA (76 nucleotides) under Candidatus Bathyarchaeota archaeon. RNAcentral's name for it is "tRNA-Cys". It matches the Rfam family "tRNA". Rfam says of the family: Transfer RNA (tRNA) molecules are approximately 80 nucleotides in length. Their secondary structure includes four short double-helical elements and three loops (D, anti-codon, and T loops). Lineage: Archaea; Thermoproteati; Candidatus Bathyarchaeota. The record is from RNAcentral.
GCCGGGGUGGCCGAACGGUUCAGGCGGCGGGCUGCAGACCCGCAGUACGUGGGUUCAAUUCCCACCCCCGGCUCCA